RNAcentral lists this microRNA precursor (67 nucleotides) under Chlorocebus sabaeus (green monkey). RNAcentral describes it as "miRNA (ENSCSAG00000022542.1)". Lineage: Eukaryota; Metazoa; Chordata; Mammalia; Primates; Cercopithecidae. The record is from RNAcentral.
AGAGUUGGGGGACAGGAUGGGAGGCUGUCUUCAUUCCCUCCUGACCACCCCCCGUUUCUUCCCCCAG